This 468-nucleotide ribosomal RNA is filed under the name uncultured bacterium. RNAcentral describes it as "partial 16S ribosomal RNA". It matches the Rfam family "Bacterial small subunit ribosomal RNA", at positions 28 to 507 of the family's 1533-position model. The record is from RNAcentral.
GACGAACGCUGGCGGCGUGCUUAACACAUGCAGGUCGAACGGAAAGGCCCUGCUUUUGUGGGGUGCUCGAGUGGCGAACGGGUGAGUAACACGUGAGUAACCUGCCCUUGACUUUGGGAUAACUUCAGGAAACUGGGGCUAAUACCGGAUAGGAGCUCCUGCUGCAUGGUGGGGGUUGGAAAGUUUCGGUGGUUGGGGAUGGACUCGCGGCUUAUCAGCUUGUUGGUGGGGUAGUGGCUUACCAAGGCUUUGACGGGUAGCCGGCCUGAGAGGGUGACCGGCCACAUUGGGACUGAGAUACGGCCCAGACUCCUACGGGAGGCAGCAGUGGGGAAUAUUACACAAUGGGCGGAAGCCUGAUGCAGAAACGCCGCGUGCGUGAUAACGGCCUUCGGGUUGUAAACCGCUUUCGCCUGUGACGAAGCGUGAGUGACGGUAAUGGGUAAAGAAGCACCGGCUAACUACGUG